Paramuricea clavata is the source of this 317-nucleotide non-coding RNA. Lineage: Eukaryota; Metazoa; Cnidaria; Anthozoa; Malacalcyonacea; Plexauridae. The record is from the annotation of a GenBank genome assembly.
AAGAGUCGCUCGCCUAGCAGUCGAAGCAAAACGAGAAAGACGAGAAGGCAAAGGACGAAUGAGACCAGCCACCAGCUCGAUUCCUUUGCGAACCCACAGCAUUCGUCGUCGGAUUUCGUUCGUGCAAAGUUUGGAAGAGAUUGCCACUCAUCCAGAGUCUGUUGUAACGAUACCAAAGAAGCGAUAUCAAGCGUCGAAGAGAUACCAAGCGUCGUUAAAGAUGUUGUACAUUUCGGGAUUCUCGUCGUGCGUGUUCGAAAGUACGUGGGACGCCAGCCCGAAGACGCUCAAAUGCACAAAACAAAUUUGAAUGUGGC